CCUACGGGAGGCAGCAGUGAGGAAUAUUGGUCAAUGGGCGCGAGCCUGAACCAGCCAAGUCGCGUGAGGGAUGAAGGUUCUAUGGAUCGUAAACCUCUUUUAUAAGGGAAUAAAGUGUGGGACGUGUCCUAUUUUGUAUGUACCUUCUGAAUAAGGAUCGGCUAACUCCGUGCCAGCAGCCGCGGUAAUACGGAGGAUCCGUGCGUUAUCCGGAUUUAUUGGGUUUAAAGGGUGCGUAGGCGGCCUUUUAAGUCAGCGGUGAAAGUCUUGGGCCCAACCAUAGGAUUGCCGUUGAAACUGGGGGGCUUGAGUAUGUUUGGGGCAGGCGGAAUGCGUGGUGUAGCGGUGAAAUGCUUAGAUAUCACGCAGAACCCCGAUGGCGAAGGCAGCCUGCCGGGCCAUGACUGACGCUGAUGCACGAAAGCGUGGGGAUCAAACAGGAUUAGAUACCCGAGUAGUC
Molecule: ribosomal RNA, 460 nt
Filed under: uncultured bacterium
Lineage: Bacteria
Description: partial 16S ribosomal RNA
Rfam family: Bacterial small subunit ribosomal RNA
Source: RNAcentral